Molecule: long non-coding RNA, 527 nt
Filed under: Nicotiana benthamiana
Lineage: Eukaryota; Viridiplantae; Streptophyta; Magnoliopsida; Solanales; Solanaceae
Description: long non-coding RNA (NBEN_LNC042540)
Source: RNAcentral
CCCCCCCCCCUCUCUCUCCUCUUUUCAUAUCUCCCAAUUAAAUCCUUCAAAACCCCCUCAAGCUUCACGAAUAGUAGAUCUAAGAAAUCCCUGCUGCCACUUUUUUUCCUUUAAAAUCUUAAAGAUUGAGCCACUCUUUCCACUCAAUUCUUAAAUAUAUAGAUAGAGCUCAGGGGUUAUCUCUUUAUAUUGGUCUUGGCCCGAAACUCCGGCGACCAGAAUACCGGCAGCCGCCACUGAUCGCCAAUGCUGCCAAUACUGCCUCUCAUUUUUGCCUCCGGCCUCGUGUAGGUUUCUAUUAUUGGUAAUAGCAAAUCCAUUUUUCGGUUCACCGGAAUUUAUGGUUCUAGUGUAUAUCAACAAUUAAAGCAUGCUUGAUCCUGAACCACUGCCUAUAGUAAUUAUUUCACCUUUGCCCGGGCAGUUAAGUUCAUGGUAGAAUCCUAAUCCUCUGCCCGUUCUUCAAUUUUCUGUUUUUUUGGAGUUUAGUUUAGGAUAAAGUUUUAUUUUAUUUUCAUGUUGUAUUU